UACGAGGGGGGCGAGCGUUGUUCGGAAUUAUUGGGCGUAAAGGGCGCGUAGGCGGUCGGAUAAGUCUUGUGUGAAAUCUUCGGGCUCAACUCGAAGUCUGCACAGGAAACUAUCUGGCUUGAGUGUGGGAGAGGUGAGUGGAAUUCCUGGUGUAGCGGUGAAAUGCGCAGAUAUCAGGAAGAACACCCGUGGCUAAGGCGGCUCUCUAGUACGGUACUGACGCUGAGACGCGAAAGCGUGGGGAGCGAACAGG
This 253-nucleotide ribosomal RNA is filed under the name uncultured bacterium. RNAcentral describes it as "partial 16S ribosomal RNA". It matches the Rfam family "Bacterial small subunit ribosomal RNA", at positions 524 to 776 of the family's 1533-position model. The record is from RNAcentral.